AAUACGGGCAAACGUGGAUUGCGGAGGGCUGCCUCGGUGGCCAAUAUUGGGGAGCCUGCGGAUUGUGUGCGGAAGCGGUUACCGUGAAGCAAUCACACAUUCCGGUUUGAAAGAGAUUGCUGUUACUCUGUUACUUAUUACUCGUGACUCAUUGUCGGCGUUGACAUUCAAUUUAGCGAGUGUUUGACUUUUGUCAUAUAUCAAAUUAGUUGACACAUUAAAAUGUUAAUAUGCUCUAGAAAGUUUUCGAAUAACAAACGGGAUAUCAACACGUAAAAGCAGUUUUAAUUAUGUCUACUAUAAUAUAGUAGCGGAAAUCGAAGAAGAUACUAAAAUUUGAAAUAUCUAAGUGAACCGAAUCCGGUGUUUAUACAUUCAUAUCUUCGUUGCUAAUGCGGUAUUUGUAUCGGUUCAAAUGCUGAACGUUUUGCCGCGCCAAAUACAAGCGGUAGAGAACAAAAUAAUUGGAGAGGCAAAUGUACGUGCGCUCGAAGCAUUCCUUAAUAAUCCAAAAUUUUACUUACACGCACGGAGAUUGAAUCGUGAUAAUUUAAAGAAACUUAAAGUCGUCUCCAAGGUCUCGAGUAACGUACUGAGAAACGAAGAUGAUAAAGCUGUUGGCGUUCCGUAUUCACCUCACUUAUCUAAUUUUGAGGCGACCAUUGAAAACGAACUGAAAAAUUCUUUGUCAAACAAAAACUCGGCUUUAUAUGAUCGUCCAUACCUUGAAAAGAAAGGUAAGAACGACUACCUUGUAAUCAAACCGGAGCUAUUGGAUCCUUUCGUGACUGUGAUACCUAACGCUAUACACUACAACAUUGAGAAGAAAUGCGUGAACUGGUUGGAUGAUUGCAGCCUGAAGGGCAUACGGGCGAAGCUGUUGAGAGGUGUUCACUCUCCUUUUAAAUAAACUUUUUAAUCAACUUGAUCUCUAUAGCCCUCGGCUAGAUAUUACCUGUUCUUGUUAUGAAAAGCGAUAUGCAUCAUUAAAAUAACAGCGCUUUUUGUA
Long non-coding RNA from Bombyx mori (domestic silkworm), 1009 nucleotides. RefSeq lists it as uncharacterized. The record is from RefSeq and is a predicted model, not a curated record. The transcript has 3 exons. NCBI's taxonomy places the organism in Eukaryota, Metazoa, Arthropoda, Insecta, Lepidoptera, Bombycidae.